Cavenderia fasciculata is the source of this 70-nucleotide non-coding RNA. NCBI's taxonomy places the organism in Eukaryota, Evosea, Eumycetozoa, Acytosteliales, Cavenderiaceae. The record is from the annotation of a RefSeq genome assembly.
GGACUAUUAGCUCUGUGGUAGAGUAGAGGACUGCAAAUCCUUUGGUCACAAGUUCUCCAAUUCAACUCCA